AUUGAACGCUAGCGGGAUGCUUUACACAUGCAAGUCGAACGGCAGCGCGGACUUCGGUCUGGCGGCGAGUGGCGAACGGGUGAGUAAUGUAUCGGAACGUGCCCAGUAGCGGGGGAUAACUACGCGAAAGCGUAGCUAAUACCGCAUACGCCCUACGGGGGAAAGCAGUGGAUCGUAAGACCUUGCACUAUUGGAGCGGCCGAUAUCGGAUUAGCUAGUUGGUGAGGUAACGGCUCACCAAGGCGACGAUCCGUAGCUGGUUUGAGAGGACGACCAGCCACACUGGGACUGAGACACGGCCCAGACUCCUACGGGAGGCAGCAGUGGGGAAUUUUGGACAAUGGGGGCAACCCUGAUCCAGCAAUCCCGCGUGUGCGAUGAAGGCCUUCGGGUUGUAAAGCACUUUUGGCAGGAAAGAAACGUCGCGGGCUAAUACCCCGUGGAACUGACGGUACCUGCAGAAUAAGCACCGGCUAACUACGUG
RNAcentral lists this ribosomal RNA (484 nucleotides) under uncultured bacterium. RNAcentral's name for it is "partial 16S ribosomal RNA". It matches the Rfam family "Bacterial small subunit ribosomal RNA", at positions 30 to 507 of the family's 1533-position model. The record is from RNAcentral.